RNAcentral lists this unclassified non-coding RNA (347 nucleotides) under soil metagenome. Its description in RNAcentral is "partial contains 5.8S ribosomal RNA, internal transcribed spacer 2, and large subunit ribosomal RNA". The stretch from base 1 to 120 matches the Rfam family "5.8S ribosomal RNA", at positions 35 to 154 of the family's 154-position model. The record is from RNAcentral.
GAUGAAGAACGUAGUGAAAUGCGAUAAUAAAUGUGAAUUGCAGAAUUCAGUGAAUCAUCGAGUCUUUGAACGCACAUUGCGCCCCCUGGUAUUCCGGGGGGCAUGCCUGUCCGAGCGUCAUUGCUGCCCUCAAGCACGGCUUGUGUGUUGGGCUUCCGUCCCUGGCAACGGGGACGGGCCCAAAAGGCAGUGGCGGCACCAUGUCUGGUCCUCGAGCGUAUGGGGCUUUGUCACCCGCUCCCGUAGGUCCAGCUGGCAGCUAGCCUCGCAACCAAUCUUUUUAACCAGGUUGACCUCGGAUCAGGUAGGGAUACCCGCUGAACUUAAGCAUAUCAAUAAGCGGAGGA